GCCUUUGACAACACCGGGUAGGGCGGACUGUUAAUCCGUAUGUCACUGGUUCGAGUCCAGUCAGAGGAGCCA
RNAcentral lists this transfer RNA (72 nucleotides) under Enterobacter cloacae. Its description in RNAcentral is "tRNA-Asn". It matches the Rfam family "tRNA". Rfam says of the family: Transfer RNA (tRNA) molecules are approximately 80 nucleotides in length. Lineage: Bacteria; Pseudomonadati; Pseudomonadota; Gammaproteobacteria; Enterobacterales; Enterobacteriaceae. The record is from RNAcentral.